GGCUGUAUGGUCUAGUGGUAUGAUUCUCGCUAGGGGUGCGUGAGGUCUUGAGUUCGAUUCUCGACUUAGGUG
This 72-nucleotide transfer RNA is filed under the name Perkinsus olseni. Its description in RNAcentral is "tRNA-Pro". Lineage: Eukaryota; Perkinsozoa; Perkinsida; Perkinsidae. The record is from RNAcentral.